This is a long non-coding RNA of Hippocampus comes (tiger tail seahorse), 344 nucleotides long. RefSeq lists it as uncharacterized. The record is from RefSeq and is a predicted model, not a curated record. The transcript is spliced from 3 exons. NCBI's taxonomy places the organism in Eukaryota, Metazoa, Chordata, Actinopteri, Syngnathiformes, Syngnathidae.
UGUGGACGAAAUGAAAUGCACGUUACAGCACGAAUGUAAAAAUGGAAUCAACUGAAACGCUUAUGGGAAAACCACAGAAGAGUUUCUUUUUUUAAACUGGACAAAUUACGGUGCUACCCCUAGACAAAUUUGUGGGUGACAGUGGGUGGCCUACGAGAUGUACAUUUCCACCUGGAUCAACAUGAGUAUGUGAAAUCCCUCAAACAAAGAACAACAAGGAAACUUCACACAGCAAGGCAGAAAUCCAACACCACGCCAAAACCUAGCUGGCUGACGUACUGACUGGGACAUCGUGCCUUCUUUUUCUGGCGUGACAUCCAAAUCAUCAAAACACGGUCGCUGCG